Molecule: unclassified non-coding RNA, 353 nt
Filed under: soil metagenome
Description: partial contains 5.8S ribosomal RNA, internal transcribed spacer 2, and large subunit ribosomal RNA
Rfam family: 5.8S ribosomal RNA (bases 1-120)
Source: RNAcentral
GAUGAAGAGCGUAGCGAAAUGCGAUAAGUAAUGUGAAUUGCAGAAUUCAGUGAAUCAUCGAAUCUUUGAACGCACAUUGCGCCCGCCAGUAUUCUGGCGGGCAUGCCUGUUCGAGCGUCAUUACAACCCUCAGGCCCCCGGGCCUGGCGUUGGGGAUCGGCGGAAGCCCCCUGCGGGCACAACGCCGUCCCCCAAAUACAGUGGCGGUCCCGCCGCAGCUUCCAUUGCGUAGUAGCUAACACCUCGCAACUGGAGAGCGGCGCGGCCACGCCGUAAAACACCCAACUUCUGAAUGUUGACCUCGAAUCAGGUAGGAAUACCCGCUGAACUUAAGCAUAUCAAUAAGCGGAGGA